Molecule: non-coding RNA, 72 nt
Organism: Picea glauca (white spruce)
Lineage: Eukaryota; Viridiplantae; Streptophyta; Pinopsida; Pinales; Pinaceae
Source: Rfam
CCGUUUGUAGUCCAAUGAUUAGGCUAAUUGUCUUCCAAACAAUAGAUCCGGGUUCGACUCCCGGCAGACGCA